This 322-nucleotide ribosomal RNA is filed under the name Nudifila sp. RNAcentral's name for it is "SSU rRNA". The stretch from base 105 to 322 matches the Rfam family "Eukaryotic small subunit ribosomal RNA", at positions 736 to 955 of the family's 1831-position model. The record is from RNAcentral. Lineage: Eukaryota; Cercozoa; Imbricatea.
GAUUUCUGGUUUGACAUGCCUGGCCCGCCGGGGUCACCUGUGUGAGUGCCGGUGCGCGUCUACCAUCCUUCUGCAGAACGGCCUUACCCUUCACUGGGCCGAGGUCGCGAUGCAGAUCUUUUACUUUGAAAAAAUUAGAGUGUUUAAAGCAGGCUUGCGCUAUGAAUACAUUAGCAUGGAAUAAUAAUUUAGGACUUUGGUCUUAUUUUGUUGGUUUCUAGGACUAAAGUAAUGAUUGAUAGGGACAGUUGGGGGUGCUAGUAUUCAGCGGCCAGAGGUGAAAUUCUUGGAUUCGCUGAAGACUAACUUAUGCGAAAGCAUU